UCCUACGGGAGGCUGCAGUGGGGAAUAUUGGACAAUGGGCGCAAGCCUGAUCCAGCCAUGCCGCGUGAGUGAUGAAGGCCCUAGGGUUGUAAAGCUCUUUCGCCAGGGACGAUAAUGACGGUACCUGGAUAAGAAGCCCCGGCUAACUUCGUGCCAGCAGCCGCGGUACUACGAAGGGGGCUAGCGUUGUUCGGAAUCACUGGGCGUAAAGCGCACGUAGGCGGAUUUUUAAGUCAGGGGUGAAAUCCCGAGGGUCAACCUCGGAACUGCCUUUGAUACUGGAAGUCUCGAGUCCGGGAGGGGUGAGUGGAACUGCGAGUGUAGAGGUGAAAUUCGUAGAUAUUCGCAAGAACACCAGUGGCGAAGGCGGCUCACUGGCCCGGUACUGACGCUGAGGUGCGAAAGCGUGGGGAGCAAACAGGAUUAGAUACCCUUGUAGUCUC
This 443-nucleotide ribosomal RNA is filed under the name uncultured Methylosinus sp. Its description in RNAcentral is "bacterial SSU rRNA". It matches the Rfam family "Bacterial small subunit ribosomal RNA", at positions 337 to 797 of the family's 1533-position model. The record is from RNAcentral. Lineage: Bacteria; Pseudomonadati; Pseudomonadota; Alphaproteobacteria; Hyphomicrobiales; Methylocystaceae.